This 2356-nucleotide long non-coding RNA is filed under the name Sus scrofa (pig). The record is from RNAcentral. Lineage: Eukaryota; Metazoa; Chordata; Mammalia; Artiodactyla; Suidae.
GUGACCUUCAAGCAUCUAAGUCUUCAACUUUCCCACAAAUUACAUUGCUUUUUUCCCCCAGUGUUUAUCUUUAACAGAUAUUAGAAUGGCAUCAGUGUUUGGUUUUGCCGCGCAGACAGGGGUCUGGGAGGAGGAGCUGCUGCCUGUGGAGGCGUCCCCCCCACCCCUGCCCCCAGCCCAGUCACCCAUGUGGAUGCUCUCAAAUGGGACAGGAAACAGUUCAGGCCUUACCUCCCAGCUCUCUUUCUGGAUCACUCCCUGAUGCUGAAGUAAUGCACAUACGAACAAACAUCAUGUCUCCAAGACCUUGCCUGCCAAGAAGUCUGCUGGAAUGCCACUCGUGGGAACACCGCCUGCUCUGAAUUAGAUUUCUCCUCCUUUGCAUCAUUUGUGGGUUUUUAGGAUCAAUGGGGCUUUUGCCUUUUUUUCUACACUUCCAGCUUUGUAGAUGGAAGAAAUCAUUUUUGGGGGUGAAUCAAAUUACCCAAAGCCAUUGAGAGAGCUGCCACUUAUACUUGGCUUUUCUCUCUUCCUAGCCAUGUGUCCAAAACUUCAUUACUCAAUUAUGGGGAACUUGAGGCCCAGAGAGGUGAGGUAACUCAUUGAGGAACUGGUUAAGAAGCCGGCUUCCACCCCCAGUCUGCACCAGGACCAAGACUCACACUCAGCUCCCUGACACCAGAAGCCUCACUCACUACAUCCUACCGGUGACUCUUGUCAUAGAGCACUUUGUUAUUUUUGUGAGUGUAUCUUAUUUAUCCAGCCCUAUCUGUAAGCAUUGGGGUGGUAAGGUCGUCACCUUACAAGCCUUUGGAUGCUGCCAUGCAGAUGUUCUGUAACUAUGCCAGUGUGACCUCUGCGAUUCAGAGCCUCGAGAUGCUGAGGAGUUGGUAAGGCUCUGGAAGUCCCCUGUCUUUCUUUUCUCUGCCCCUUUGCAAUUUGCUCUUCUCUCUCACAGACAUACUUUUAGUGCCAUCACCUGUCUGCCUAUCGUGACAUCCCCCCAUGUUAUUCUCCUUGCGUGCAUCACAGUUCUUUGCCAGAAUUCUGUUUCCCUUUAUGAAAAAUAUCAACCUUGUCCUUUAUCCCUUGUUUGCUGCCAUCAUCAUCCUCCUUUUAUUUCCUGAUAGUAAAAUGUCUGUUCUUUUCUUUUUGCAACUGUGGACCUCAUCAGUGGUCCUUCUCAACUCGGUGCAUUUUGUAUAAGUACAUGAGUUUGAUCUUGGUAACAAGAAUGUGAGAUUGAUAGAACCAGGGAGAAAACACCUCUUUCCUUUAGGAUCUAGGACCAUAGAGAAAUCUAGGUUUGUUUCAAGGGGCCACGGUCAAGGGAAAGUUGGUGUUUUUUCAGUGCCUGUUCUGUGCUAGCAAUGUGGGAAGCCCUGUGCACAUGACAUCACCUAGUCCUCAUUGCAACUCCGGGAGAGUUUUAUCUUCAUGCAAUGAAUGAGAAAAUGUUCCAAUGAGCCACAGCUCACUCUGGGUGACACUUAAAGGCAGGGCCAGGAUUUCAACUCACCUCUGGCUUUAAAGUCCGUGCUUCCUGCCACACAAGUCUUGGUUGAUGUGUGUACCAUAAAGGGGGAAGUCCUAAACCCUCUGCAGGCACCAACUUGUGCCUCAUCCUCUGGUGCUGAUGGGGUUUAGAGAACUGUGGGCUGGGCAUGUUUGGGGAGUCUAGUGACACCCAUGGUAAAAUGAUUCCCAGGCUUCCAGUUGGCCAGAGAAGGUCCUACCUGCAUCCACGGUGGGAUCAAAGAAACAGGUCACGUCAAAUUUGCCUCCUUCAUCUUUGAACAGGUGGCAGUGUUACUAGAAGUACAGGCCAGUCUGAGAAAUGAGAGAAGUACUGUGCUGCUAGAUCUUUCCAGGGAAUUUAGCAAAUGCACAUGAAAACCUUGUGGGCAUAUAAAGAAGUGAAGGUUGGGGAUGGCUUCUGGCAGUUUCCAUCUGGUGCCUCAGUGAUGAACAAACUGAAAGGUUGGGACCAGGGUUUGUUCUUGGUCAUUUGUUGUUGGCAUUUGCACCAGUGCCUUGGAGGAAGGACUGAGGGGUGUGCCUGAUUCCCAAGACGUGUGCGCAGGAACCAGAGCUAUUCAUCCUUACUCCUCUGGAAAGCCUCUUCUUUUGGGGGGGCCUUGACACAAUGUCCUUACUUUCUCGCCUUCCGCUAGUUCCUUUGAUGGAUUCUUUGUCCUUUGCCUUAGGACCCCUUCUUGAGCUGUUCUCCCCGGUCCCUCAGUGACGACACCAUCUGCUCUUGAGUUUGCUUCUUUCUGAAUGACAAUGCCUGGCUUCCAGCUCUGACUGAUGCCGGGUAUCUCUGCUUUACAGUGAGUCCCACUCACCACACCCU